GAGGAUGCGAGCGUUAUCCGGACUUAUUGGGUUUAAAGGGCGCGUAGACGGGAUGUUACGUCAGCUGUGAAAGUUUGGGGCUCAACCUUAAAAUUGCAGUUGAAACUGGCAUUCUUGAGUGCGGCAGAGGCAGGCGGAAUUCGUGGUGUAGCGGUGAAAUGCUUAGAUAUCACGAAGAACUCCGAUUGCGAAGGCAGCUUGCUGGAGCGUAACUGACGUUGAUGCGCGAAAGUGUGGGGAG
This 241-nucleotide ribosomal RNA is filed under the name uncultured bacterium. RNAcentral's name for it is "partial 16S ribosomal RNA". It matches the Rfam family "Bacterial small subunit ribosomal RNA", at positions 528 to 768 of the family's 1533-position model. The record is from RNAcentral.